Molecule: transfer RNA, 86 nt
Filed under: Candidatus Saccharibacteria bacterium QS_5_54_17
Lineage: Bacteria; Candidatus Saccharimonadota
Description: tRNA-Leu
Rfam family: tRNA
About the family: Transfer RNA (tRNA) molecules are approximately 80 nucleotides in length. Their secondary structure includes four short double-helical elements and three loops (D, anti-codon, and T loops).
Source: RNAcentral
GCCGGAGUGGCGGAAUUGGCAGACGCGCACGACUCAAAAUCGUGUGGGAUUUUCCCGUGGGAGUUCGAGUCUCCCCUCCGGCACCA